CAGCUCCACAGGAAUCCUCACAGAUGUGUUUUAACUUUAAAUCUGCAAUGGCUUCCACAAGUUCACCUGGAACCUCCAAAUCUAAGCACCUUUGACUGGGAGGCAAUUUAUGGAGAGACUGCUGAGAAGGCUUCAGGAAGUUCUGCAACGUCAGCCUGUGGAUUUUGACUAUUUACACUUUUACACAGUGUUUUACACUUACACUGUUUUAAGUCACGAAAUGGGACUUGUACCCUUUUGCAUAGGCCAGUAGACAUUAACCCUCAUAUGCAUUAUCAUUGCAUUUACUGUAAUUUGUUAUGCAAUAUAGAGUCAAAUUCUUACUUGAAUAUAUAUAUAUAUAUAAUAUUGUUAUUCAUUGAAAAGGUACAGCUUUAACUGUUUUGCUGGAGUCCAUACUGUAAAUGCAUGUCAUUUCAAAAACUGUUAAGGAUUAAAAUCAGUACUACAUAUAAA
This is a long non-coding RNA of Sander lucioperca (pikeperch), 456 nucleotides long. RefSeq lists it as uncharacterized. Lineage: Eukaryota; Metazoa; Chordata; Actinopteri; Perciformes; Percidae. The record is from RefSeq and is a predicted model, not a curated record. The transcript has 2 exons.